CACGUAGUUAGCCGGUGCUUAUUCUUCAGGUACCGUCAUUAGCAAAGGAUAUUAGCCCUCACCGUUUCUUCCCUGACAAAAGAGCUUUACAACCCGAAGGCCUUCUUCACUCACGCGGCAUUGCUGGAUCAGGCUUGCGCCCAUUGUCCAAAAUUCCCCACUGCUGCCUCCCGUAGGAGUCUGGACCGUGUCUCAGUUCCAGUGUGGCUGGUCGUCCUCUCAGACCAGCUACUGAUCGUCGCCUUGGUGAGCCUUUACCUCACCAACUAGCUAAUCAGAUAUCGGCCGCUCUAAAAGCAUAAGGCCCGAAGGUCCCCUACUUUCAUCCGUGGAUCGUAUGCGGUAUUAGCGUAACUUUCGCUACGUUAUCCCCCACUUCUAGGUACGUUCCGAUAUAUUACUCACCCGUUCGCCACUCGUCAGCGGAGCAAGCUCCCUGUUACCGUUCGACUUGCAUGUGUAAAGCAUGCCGCCAGCGUUCAAUCUGAGCCAGGAUCAAACU
Molecule: ribosomal RNA, 502 nt
Filed under: uncultured Massilia sp.
Lineage: Bacteria; Pseudomonadati; Pseudomonadota; Betaproteobacteria; Burkholderiales; Oxalobacteraceae
Description: partial 16S ribosomal RNA
Source: RNAcentral